Camelus dromedarius (Arabian camel) is the source of this 1584-nucleotide long non-coding RNA. RefSeq lists it as uncharacterized. The record is from RefSeq and is a predicted model, not a curated record. The transcript is spliced from 4 exons. Lineage: Eukaryota; Metazoa; Chordata; Mammalia; Artiodactyla; Camelidae.
CCUGCCUCGGCCCCUGCGGUCGCCCGGCUCCUCCGAGCGGGGGCUGGGGGCUGGGACCCCUGUCUCCGGACUGGCUGCGCCUCUGGGCUUCCCACUUGGGGCCUCAGUUUCCACAGCGCGGGAGGACACGGGUAAGGUGGAUGGGGACCACCAGCUCCACCAGAUCAUUCUGCCCUUUCAUGGAAACAGGAUUACAGAGAUGUUCUCUCGAAGGCAACCUUAGGCUUUGCGGUGGAGCUGGAAUCCAGAGGGGAGGCCUAGAUGCAGGAAAUGCUCCCCAAGUGCAGAAGACCAAGAUAGUCACUGCAUCAUUGUUGGGAACACAGAAAACUGGAAGUGACCCAAGUUGUGAUCCCUGACGCGUUGCCUAAGUAAAGCAGGCUACAUCCGCACAAUGAAGUGCUAUGUGUGUCUUUUAAAAGACCGAGGUAGCUCCUCUGCACAGACGUGGGAAGAUACAUACGAUGUAAUAUGAGAUGCGUUUCAUAGGGGAAAAGCCAUAAUGAAUGUGCUAUGGCCCUCUGUUCAUAGAAACUGGAAGUGUUCAGAGGGUCUGUUUUGUGUUCCUGUGCGUUAUCUCAGUGCAGGGUAGAAAUAUGGAAGGAGUUCAUAUCACAACGAGGACUUUCCCUUUCUAAACUCUGUGUUUUCCCAACUUGAAUUUUUGACCACUCACGCCUUUUUUGGGCCAUGCUUUGUUUUAGACGAGCACAGAGGCAGUAAGUAACAGCCAAGCAAGGCAGCGUUUUGUUACAGAAUAAAAAGUGGUUGAUGAAAAUGAUAGGCUCGCUGCUUGGAGGCCACAGCACAGGACUGGCCUAGGCAUGACAACAGCCAGAAAGCAGGAAAACCUCACCCCUUGAGGACUGCGUACCGCAUGUGAAGUGCAAACUGGCCAUUCCCAGGGUGUCUACAAGGGUUUAAGCGAUGUUGAUGGCUGAAUCUUAUUUAAAUUGUCUAAAUUCUAUCUUAACAAGAGUGUAAGUCGUUGUUGCAUUUCUACUUAAGUUCGAGUGAAACUGACUUCUGUGAAAUCAGAGAUGUUAUCUCCAGCACUUGGCUUAGGGUCUAAGCCGUGAACACAGCAGGCACUCAGUAAAUGGUUGUGCUUGGCAGACAACACACCGCCAAUGGGGUGAAUUCACUUGCUCCUUCUCUGCCUGACGAUAGAGCCUCCAACAGCAUCUCAACAAAAGGGGAAGAACACCUGAACAUCAUCCUUUUAUAAUCAGGAAAAACACAUUAAAGAUUAAGUGAAAUACAUGAUAACUAGAAAAGCCACACCCUCGCCUAGUCAUUCGUUUACUCAGUAAGCGUGUGCCAGGCUACCUGCUGAGUCCCAGGCACUGAGGCCAGGUGUGGGGGUUGCAGAGACUGAUACACAUGGCUCCUGCCCUCAAGGAGCUUCUGCUCUAACGGGGGAAUCACAUGUGGCUUCUGGUGGGAGCCUUAGGCGUGGAAGGUGCAGGGGAGAAGCCGCUCGGGCUCAGGUCUCAUGGGGUGGAGGAGGGGCUGCUGGGACAGACUCCCAGAGAGAGCGCAGUAGGCUCAGAGCUCAGGACCGAAGGGGUCCUUGGACGUGGC